CAUUUAUAUGAGUGAGUGAUCCUAGGGCCAAUUGAAGUGUAUCUUUAUUGGCUAUAGCACAGACUCAAAAGCAUACAAGUUGUACAAUCCAGAAACAAAGAAAGUAAUCAUCAGCAGAGAUGUGACAUUCGACGAGAAAGACAUGUGGGACUAUAACAAAAAAGAUAGAAAAGCAGCUAACUAUCAUUCCAAAUACAUGUGAUAAAGUAGAAGAAAAGCAACCUGACACA
Arachis ipaensis is the source of this 230-nucleotide non-coding RNA. The record is from RefSeq and is a predicted model, not a curated record. Lineage: Eukaryota; Viridiplantae; Streptophyta; Magnoliopsida; Fabales; Fabaceae.